Molecule: ribosomal RNA, 424 nt
Filed under: uncultured prokaryote
Description: bacterial SSU rRNA
Rfam family: Bacterial small subunit ribosomal RNA
Source: RNAcentral
UGGGGAAUAUUGGACAAUGGGCGAAAGCCUGAUCCAGCAAUACCGCGUGAGUGAUGACGGCCUUAGGGUUGUAAAACUCUUUCAGUAGGGAAGAUAAUGACGGUACCUACAGAAGAAGCACCGGCUAACUCCGUGCCAGCAGCCGCGGUAAUACGGAGGGUGCUAGCGUUGUUCGGAAUUACUGGGCGUAAAGCGUGCGUAGGCGGUUUGGCAAGUUGGAAGUGAAAUCCCGGGGCUCAACCUCGGAACUGCUUUCAAAACUGCCAAACUAGAGUAUGGUAGGGGAGAGUGGAAUUCCUAGUGUAGGGGUGAAAUCCGUAGAUAUUAGGAGGAACACCAGAGGCGAAGGCGACUCUCUGGGCCAUUACUGACGCUAAGGCACGAAAGCGUGGGGAGCAAACGGGAUUAGAUACCCCCGUAGUCC